UUCCUUAAUUGGGAACUGGGAUGAAGGGUUGAAACUUUAUGGAUUGUUUUGUUUAAUGAAUUUGAACUUAAAUUAAAGGUAAAAAUGCUUUUAUGAAUUUCUGGGACGAGAAGACCCUAGAAGCUUAAAAGGAGGGACCUUUUUGGUUGGGGCAACUAUUGAAGAGGUAAAUUUUUAAUUAAAAUUAAAGAAAUUAUUAUAAAGUUACUCUAGGGAUAACAGCGUAAUCUAAUUGACAAGUUCUUAUUAAUAAUUAGGUUUGCGACCUCGAUGUUGAAUUAAAGGAAAAUUUAUGAUGAAGGAGUUAUAUAAGGUUAGUCUGUUCGACUAUUAAAAUUUUACAUGAUUUGAGUUCAAACCGGCUUAAGCCAGGUCGGUCUUAAUC
RNAcentral lists this ribosomal RNA (385 nucleotides) under Heteropachylus sp. MZSP 73206. RNAcentral describes it as "partial large subunit ribosomal RNA". The stretch from base 72 to 385 matches the Rfam family "Bacterial large subunit ribosomal RNA", at positions 2046 to 2642 of the family's 2925-position model. The record is from RNAcentral. Lineage: Eukaryota; Metazoa; Arthropoda; Arachnida; Opiliones; Gonyleptidae.